ACCCAGCUGUCGAGUCCAAAACAGGGCGAAAUGCGCAUCUUGGAU
This 45-nucleotide non-coding RNA is filed under the name Trichobilharzia regenti. Lineage: Eukaryota; Metazoa; Platyhelminthes; Trematoda; Strigeidida; Schistosomatidae. The record is from RNAcentral.